CCGCCGAACCCGUCCCCGUGCCCAAGCCUUGAGACGCUGUCUUCUCCUCUUUCGUAACCAGCGCUGCAAUCGCGACGGUUUCAUCUUCCUCACGAUUAAAGCUGUGGCUGAGGGUUUUGCUCUCCUUGUUCCUCUUCUCCCUGAUCCUCGCUGCCCAAUCUCCUUCGCCCUCUCCUUUCUUUUGGCACCGUCACAGACCAUCAUCGCCCUCUUCCUCGUGGUCCUCGCGAUUUCUUCUCUCUACAUCGCCUCCGACCACCGCAGGCUGAUGCUAGGUCGUCGCCGCCCUGAUGUCACCGCCAGUGCCCUAGUUUCUGUCGGAGAGAGAGAGAGAGAGAGAGCUGUUGGUUGGUGAUUCCUGGGUAGCGGUAGUAGCAAUACUGUCUGGCUACCAAUCUCCAGUAGCUGCUUGCCCUGGCUGUGGGUACUUGGGGAUGACGACAGCCCUAGCUCCAGCCAAAAUCUUUCAGCAGCAAAAGGUUCCUUUCCAUUUCCAGAACUUUUGCUGCUGGAUUUGAGCCUUGUCACCCUUGCGCACCACUACUGGCAACUGUAAGCUAUUACCAGAGAGGAAUGAAGCCAAGUUAGCUUCUCUGGAUUUCGACAGUAAAUUCUUCAAGAUUAGAGCAGCGCUGAGGCAUCAGAAAAUUUGGGAUUCAGAUUCAAGAUGAGCACAUCGACAUAGAGGUUGAUUAGCUCGAUCUACAUUAGAGGGAAGUAAUCUAGACCGUUGAUCAAGAUCCAUGAUCAAGGCAUCAAGGAGAUCCAAAGAAGUAAAGCCUCCAAUUCAAAACCCACUUUUAAAGCCCAAACUUGAAGCCGAAUGUCAAAGCCCAAUUUCAAUUCUUAUUGCAUCCGGAUCCGAAUCUCACUCAAACAUUUCAACCCGAAAUCCAAGACCCAAACCCGUUGAGAAACCCCUCUUUCCCCGCACGGCACAGUGUCGAACUCUCUUCUUCUCCGUGAUUUCUUCUCCGCGGCAGCUAGGGCACAACGUGCCUUUCUCUUCUCCUUCCUUUUCUCCGGCCGGCGGCUUCAUUUCAUCUCUUCACCGCCGCCGGCCGGUCCUCCACACCCAACCUCCUCUUCUCCAAUCUGCUCCAAGCGGCGACGGCAGCAACUCAACGAUUCCUUUGGGCGGACAACGGCGUGAAUCUAGGGCUUCUUGACGGUGAGGCAUUCUUCUCCGGCAAGCACUCUUCUUCAUACCUUCCUCAGAGGAGGGACUUCUGUGGACGGCGUUCCGGAAGCAGGAAACUUCACAGAGGAAGUCGGCUGCCCUUUUCUUCUUCUCCGUUGAAUUUCUCCUUCUUCCAUCAUUGAGCAGUGCUGUGGACUUUCGUUGACGGUGUUCCGAAGAUUGGCAUGAUUCCAGCAAUCUCAGUGUGUCCAAUUCCGAGAGAAGCAAGCUCCAUUUCAAAUUGUGUAUCAAUUUCCAGUAAUGAUCAGGGGCAGUAGUUGAGUUUGCUGUUCACCGGUGCCGGUGUUCCAGAUCCGGGCCCUUUGUGUGACAGCGAAGGGUAGUUGACUUGGUGUAUGAUCGUGGAGGAUUAGAUUGGUUAACUAGGAUUUAUUUGUUGUUCUUGUUUAAUUUUGUAGUUAAGUUCUUAUGCUUGUUUAAUGUGUAGUUGUUAGCUUAAUUUCAUGUUAGAUCUUCUUAUGAUGCAUGUUAAUUAGUUUUGGUACUUUGUUUAGUUCA
Molecule: long non-coding RNA, 1699 nt
Organism: Zingiber officinale
Lineage: Eukaryota; Viridiplantae; Streptophyta; Magnoliopsida; Zingiberales; Zingiberaceae
Exons: 5
Source: RefSeq, a predicted model, not a curated record